This 254-nucleotide ribosomal RNA is filed under the name uncultured bacterium. Its description in RNAcentral is "partial 16S ribosomal RNA". It matches the Rfam family "Bacterial small subunit ribosomal RNA", at positions 524 to 776 of the family's 1533-position model. The record is from RNAcentral.
UACAGAGGGUGCGAGCGUUAAUCGGAAUUACUGGGCGUAAAGAGCUCGUAGGUGGUUCGGUAAGUCGGAUGUGAAAUCUCCAGGCUCAACCUGGAGGGGUCAUUCGAUACUGCCGUGACUAGAGUUCGGUAGGGGAGUGUGGAAUUCCUGGUGGAGCGGUGAAAUGCGCAGAUAUCAGGAGGAACACCCGUAGCGAAGGCGGCACUCUGGGCCGAUACUGACACUGAGGAGCGAAAGCGUGGGGAGCGAACAGG